GGUUAAUUAGUUUAAUAAAAAACAGGUGUUUUGAAAACACCUAAUAAGAAAAUUUUCUUAUUAACCA
RNAcentral lists this transfer RNA (67 nucleotides) under Ibacus alticrenatus. RNAcentral's name for it is "tRNA-Ser". Lineage: Eukaryota; Metazoa; Arthropoda; Malacostraca; Decapoda; Scyllaridae. The record is from RNAcentral.